AAAAAAAAGUGCAAAUUCAAUUUUCCUCGAGCUAUCCAUUUAAUGUAAUUUAGGCAAGGCACACGCCUUUGCAUUGCAUGUUGUGGCUGAACAACAAAUUAGAAGUGGUGUGGUGAACAGAGGAAUGUGCAUGAGGCUUCCUUUGCACAUUAUCUACAUUAACCUCAGCACUUAACAAUGGGACCAGGGAGACCGUGCCGAGCUUGAGUAAUCCAAGCUGAAGAUCAAAGCGGAGACUAACUGCUCCACCAACAUGCCUCCCUUCUUUCUUCUAUGUAGAAGCUUUCAAUGUUUCCAAUAGAGGACAAAUCCAUGGACCCUUUUGGGUAAUGGAUAGGACCCAUCUGAAGGAUCCUACAUAUAAGUAAAUUGUAUAAAAAUUGUUUUUGUUUACACUGUUCCUUUAAGAAUCCCCUUCUCUAAUAGAGAGCAGGAUAUCGAUUAUAUGCCCUGCACAGUACAUUCAUAUAACUGAUUCAUUUUACUAAGUGAAAUUAAACGGAUCAAUCUAAAAUGAUUUUUGGCAGUGCAGCUGUAGUUGACCAUUUGCUUAUAAAAGAUUACUGAAAUGGAAAAGUUGGGAAUAAGAAUGUGGUAUCUGUUGUAGAAUGGCUAGGCCUCUUAAACUGAAUACUUUUAAUUAAAGAGUGAGAAAUUUUCAAUGACUAGUAUAAUAAAAACAAACUGCUUUGACACAA
Long non-coding RNA from Silurus meridionalis, 698 nucleotides. RefSeq lists it as uncharacterized. The transcript is spliced from 2 exons. Lineage: Eukaryota; Metazoa; Chordata; Actinopteri; Siluriformes; Siluridae. The record is from RefSeq and is a predicted model, not a curated record.